RNAcentral lists this ribosomal RNA (503 nucleotides) under uncultured Pseudomonas sp. RNAcentral's name for it is "bacterial SSU rRNA". It matches the Rfam family "Bacterial small subunit ribosomal RNA", at positions 903 to 1382 of the family's 1533-position model. Lineage: Bacteria; Pseudomonadati; Pseudomonadota; Gammaproteobacteria; Pseudomonadales; Pseudomonadaceae. The record is from RNAcentral.
UUGCCACGCCCGCUCAAGAACUCAAAGGAAUUGGACGGGGCCCGCACAAGCGGUGGAGCAUGUGGUUUAAUUCGAAGCAAUGCGAAGAACCUUACCAGGCCUUGACAUGCAGAGAACUUUCCAGAGAUGGAUUGGUGCCUUCGGGAACUCUGACACAGGUGCUGCAUGGCUGUCGUCAGCUCGUGUCGUGGGAUGUUGGGUUAAGUCCCGUAACGAGCGCAACCCUUGUCCUUAGUUACCAGCACGUUAUGGUGGGCACUCUAAGGAGACUGCCGGUGACAAACCGGAGGAAGGUGGGGAUGACGCCAAGUCAUCAUGGCCCUUACGGCCUGGGCUACACACGUGCUACAAUGGUCGGUACAAAGGGUUGCCAAGCCGCGAGGUGGAGCUAAUCCCAUAAAACCGAUCGUAGUCCGGAUCGCAGUCUGCAACUCGACUGCGUGAAGUCGGAAUCGCUAGUAAUCGUGAAUCAGAAUGUCACGGUGAAUACGUUCCCGGGCCUU